CACGCUUAAUUCACUUUAUUUUUCUUGUAUAAAAACCCUAUGUUGUAGCCACAGCUGGAGCCUGAGUCCGCUGCACGGAGACUCUGGUGUGGGUCUUGACGAGGUGGUCAGUGAACUCCUGAUAGGGAGACUUGGUGAAUACAGUCUCCUUCCAGAGGUCGGGGGUCAGGUAGCUGUAGGUCUUAGAAAUGGCAUCAAAGGUGGCCUUGGGAAGUUGCCCAGGGUGGCAGUGCAGCCC
This 238-nucleotide long non-coding RNA is filed under the name Homo sapiens (human). RNAcentral's name for it is "long non-coding RNA NONHSAT052027". The record is from RNAcentral. Lineage: Eukaryota; Metazoa; Chordata; Mammalia; Primates; Hominidae.